UGUGUGUUAAAUCUAUCGAUAACCGCGCCCGCGGAUAUGGGCCCAGUUCGUGUCGGUCAUACUAUGGGUCAACGGUAAUAAUAAUGAUGUGCUUAAUAACAACCUUGGUUCGAUGAUGAAAGAAGUUGGUUGAUAUUUAUGUGAUCGUGAGAGGAUCACUGUAGUAUCGUGAAUACCAACUUGUUGUAUAUUUGGAAUGUUAUUCGAGAGUCAAGGGGAAAGGUCAAGCUCCUUGUGAUCAUAAAUGAUUGCUACGGUAUUGUUAAUACCAAGCUUGAUUGGAUCCUGAGAUGAUCGUGUGAUAUCCGUGAUGGUAAGUGAUACAGGUGAUGGUUACAAGGUAACCAGAGCAGAGUAAGUUGGUGCAUGAUAGUUUCAUCAUGUUGCAUGCUAGGCUCAUCUUGUUCAUAUGUUCAUGCCAUGCUCGUAUUGUUCUAGCUAUAUCAUCUUGUUCAUGUUAUGAUUGAUCUGAUAGUAUCAUGGUAAUCCUUGUUAACCUGUAAUUGCCAUGUUGUUGUUUGUUUUGAUUGUUUUGGUUGUUGUGAGCUUGCAAGUACAUUCAAUGUACUGACCUGGUGUGUCAUGCCAGUUUGCAGGUCAUGUCGGAUUUGAUUGCUUGUUUGUCAUGGAUUUCCCUGUUUGCGAGCCUAGGAUAAGCGUUCCAGCCAGAGUCCCUGUGGAGUGGAGUUCACCACCGUCUUUGCUGUUCCGCUGCCAGUAGUCAUUCCGCUGCGUCGUGUUGUUCUGCUGCUUGCAUAGAGCAACCGUGGCAGGCGUAGCGUCGCCGUGCCGAUGUAAUCCCCUUGUACCCCAAUAGAUUGCAAUAAAUAGCUGAUUUGUUCUAUGCUAAGCAGUGCCGUAUUCCAGAAGACUUCUCCUCGAUCUGUGGGCUGGAAUACGGGGCGUUCCGGUUUCUCUGAGCCGGGGUGCCACAGGCUUGGUAUCAGAGCAGGUGUGGCUAUAGGACUCCCUAGCCCGCGCGAACGUUAGAAUGCGGUAGUAUAGAGCCCCGUUGGUUUAUUGCACUUGAUUGCUGCAUUUGUUUGUUGCAUAGCAUGCAUAUAGAUCAUUUUCUUGUCGCUAACGGUUAAUCUUGUGAGUGUAGGUGGCAUCGUUUUCGAUCCACUACCUGCACCCUCCUUAUUUGCAUGCCUGCUCUUUGGUGUUUGGCGUCGUCUCUAUCCUAGCAGAGUGAUGCCCUGGUGCCAAGUGUUCCAGACACCAUUUGCAGGAGUUCUGCUCAGGUAUCGCGUCGAUAUCUUUUCGCCACCCACCCAUAUUAUUUCGGUGAUAGAUUUGCCUCUAUCCCGAAUCGUGCCUUCCAUCCCGUCCCUUUGGCAACCCUUACUGAUCUUUGUUAUCAGAAAAGGGCAAUGCCAGCAAAGCCCCGCUUUCCACCGCUAUAAUGCAUUGUCAUCCCAUUCCAUGGACGUGUAUGGUUCCCUUUCAUACGCUUGAUGAUGAUGUAGUCGUGACUUCCGUGUCUCGCUGCAUGAUCACCAAGUCCGUCCUCGCUUUUGUAUCCAUCCAGAUCUAGCCGGUGUUCAGCCAGCGCUUGGUAUAGCCUUGGUUACACCAACCCUUUCCACACAUGGAUCUCAGUUUCGUGCACACCGUCACAGCAUAUUAGACCGUAAUACCGGAGUUUCCGUGAGAUUUGUGUGCUUAGGUGUGCAUGCAUAUUAUUGUGUGAGUAGCAGUAAUAUGUGUUGAUUGCUUUAUUUUGGUUGCAUGCUUGUGUGCCUUUGUUUCGUCGUUCCUUUUGUUUCUUUAUUUGGGCCUUCGGUGUUACAAAUUUUUCCCCUUAUUAAAGUUGCUCGUCAACCGACACCGGACCCGAAGAAUCAGCAAGGAGUUCAAAUGUUUGGAAGCUCAGCUAAACAAGAAUGGAAUUAUCAGCAGACAACAGUGAAAUUGGGAAAAUCUUGGCUGAAGGCAAAGAAAUCCUGGAUGGACUGUCAGUAUCAAGUUUGCAUCAGUAUGGAAUUCUCAGCCGACUGCAUUGACAUCUGGGGAUAUCUGAUCGUGAUACAGAUAAUCAAGUUUUCCUCAGUGUGCACUCUUCAUGGCAGUAAUGAUCAGAUCAGCAAGAAGAUAAGCUAUGUGCAAGACCAACAGUGCAAUUUCAGUCAAAGUUAUGGUUCAGAUACAAGGUUUGAUUCUUCGUGGAGGAUGAUUUUGAAACAUGAUAUGCCUGGAAGAAAGCAAGGAUGUGCCACAUACUCAGAAAGGAGGAUGGUCCAGCAAUUCCUGUUUCAGCACGAAGCCCAGUCUUCCUCAGCAAGAUACUCUCGAUGGUUUUCAGCAUAAGCCAUCCAAUCGUCCUCAGUACGGCGCUGGUGCAAGAUAGUACAAUGUGAAUUGACAGCAGAUGGCAGAAUCAUAUCCGCAACAGUUGGCCAGAAGCAAGAAUCAUUCAGAACACAAGUCUGCCUCGGGAAUCAGAUUCUCAGAUAUAUGUGAAGGAAGCCAGAUAUACACCUCAGUGUGACAAAGGACUAUGAGGAUUGACGACAACACUGAGCUCUGUACAAGUACCAGUGAACCUGGAAGAUGAUCUUGAUGAGCCCUUGUCUCCUUUUCUUCAGUGUCGGCACCACGCCUGUGAUCUGAGCUGUUUUUAGCUAUCCGGGGUGGAUGCCAAUUUUUAUUUCUCUCUUCAAUAAUUGUCAUGAGUUCUGAGCUGCUUUUCGGCCGUCUCAUACAGCUGUUGAGUUUGUUUUUGUGACAGUAGCCCUAUAGAUGCUUUUGGCUAUUUUAGGGAGCUGCCACUUUCUUCUUAUCAACCCGGUCUCAUGUUCUGAGCUGCUUUUCAGCCGUCCUGAGCCGUGGUUGAGUUAUUUCAGUAAUGUCCCAGAUCUGAGUUGUAAAGACCGUUCUGGUGGCUACUGAUUUAUUUGCCGAUUUCUUGCAAGGGUUCGGAUGAUCAUUUCCUACGGUUAGAACUUGAGAAGUGUUGAACCCGCCAUUUAAUGGAUUACCAUGUCAGAAGAUGCGGAUAAGAGUACAGUUGUCAGAAUAUUGCACCCGACAGAACCUAUGGUCACACGAAGAAGCAAUAUGACCCCGCUCCUUCACCCAAGGAUCCAGGCAAGGAAAACAGUAAUGAAGGAGCCAGAUUGAUAAUUGUUGCAUAAUUCAAAUGGUGCAGAUACCCCGGACAGUCUGAGUCAGUAUGGAUCACCAUGGAUAUUCACCAAAAGGGUCUGCUCGGUUUUGGAUGGUGAAUAACAAUCUGGGAGCAUGUACCCUCACUUAUGUGAAGCCUCAACGGAUAGCCUGUCAUGGACAAAAUUCUUUCACGAGAUUCACAGUCAGUCAAGUCUGCGGAUACUAUGAUAUAAGGCCAUACCCCUUAUGCUGGCAACGACAGACGACAAUCAAAUAUUUGGUAUGAUGCUGAGAUUCAAGACAGUGGAGCCAGUCAGGAUUGGUCAGAAAUUCCUGCGAUAAGUCAGAAUCUGUCAGAAAAACGGAUAUGCCGCAACUCACUGUUUGGAACCUGAAGGACCUGCAUUUGAUGGAGAAACCCAAUGCAAGGAGUCGGAGCUUGGGUGUUCAUCAGGACAAAUCGGAUCACCAAUUCAUGGACAGUUGUCAGUACAGACACAACCAUUGGAAUUCACUCUCGGAUUUGUGAGACAGGCAGAUAUUUCAGUCAUGGUAAUCUCAGCUAAGUCAGCAGAUAUGAACAGAAUUGCAGCCAGUAUAAGCAGAACAUGUGAGUUAAGAUCUGUCAGGAUAUGGAUACAGUGAAGCAAGCAACCCCAGAGCCAGUCAGGUCAGUCAGAUGAAGAAUUUAAUGGGAACAAUCAACAAAGGAAAAAGGAUACCCGAGUUGGAAACGGUUUCCUUAAGGCAGUAUAUUCAUACUUGUUCCCGGAGCAACCAAAUCUCCAGGAUGAGAUUUCUUUAAGGGGGGAAGGUUUGUCACAGCCUGAUUUUUGGCCCUUUCUUUUUCAUUUGAUUUUCUGAGGUUUUUGCUUGAGUUUUCUUUUUCCGUGGCUUUGUGGUCUGGAAACUGAAGAAGAUGACCUCUUCUUUAUUUCCAGAGUGGCUUGUCAUCCUCAAAUCCUUCCCUAGAUCAUAUCAUUUCCAUCCUAGCUCAAUCCCAAUAUUCUUUUUAUUGGGAAUAUUCCUCUUCUAUUAAAGGAAUCAUCCUUUUUGCCCUAGGUUGUGAAGCAACCUAUAUUUCCAUCACUCCUAAAAUUCCCAAAUAAUUCUCAUAAAUUUUUUGGGUCAUAUAUUCCUCAAAUAUGGCAAAACAUUUCAUUUGCCAUGUUUAUCAUCAUGCUCAAAUAAUUCAUUUCCUAUUCUGCCCUAAAUGGCACAUUGUGAAGCAAGUGCUAUUUUCCUUUUCCCAAUUGACCUCAAACUCCUUGGACACCUUUUACUGUCCAUAUAAUUGCCACAUGACAAAAUGCAACCUCAUUUGCCUAGUAGUCAUUUAAUUAUGAUUUUCCAAAGUUUCUGUCCAGAAAGAAACUUUGUGAAGGAGGUAUAAGCUAGGCAUAUCCAAAUGAGUUGCAAUAUUUCAUAUUCCUUCAUAUCAUAAAAUCAUAGCCCUCCACCAAAGUUUAGCUCAUUUAAUGCCUCCAUGUGAGCACAGCUUCAAAUCUUUGAUUCUGUCCAAAAUUUCAGUUUAUGAAGCAAGUAUAUUUUAUAUUGCUUCAUUAUGGCUGUAAAUUGUUCUAGGCCUUCUCCUAUCCAUAUAAACUCCCUCCACCAAGUUGUGGCUCAAUCCAUUUAGCCAUUUUCCCUCUAGAAGUUUUGAAAGUUUCUGGUCAGUGGGGAUGUUUGUGAAGGAAGUACCAUUUUGGUUUAUCCAAAUGGUGUGAAACCUUUUUCAGCAUCUUCAUAUGACCAAAUAACUCUGCCCUGACCAAGUUCAGGUCAAGUGGCUUCACCAUUUGAGUGCAUCAUCAUGAUUUCUAUUCUGGACCAAUUUAGGCAGUUGUGAAGCAACUAUAUCAAAUAUUGGUCCAAAUCCCUCCAUAGUUUCCAGGACAGUAGUCCUUCCACAGACAAACACCCCAGACAACUCCGUUUGACUCAAUCAACUUCCUGUUGAUCAGCAGUGCUCGUCAAAAUCUGAUACAGUAAACUUCAGACGAUCCCUCAUUCAUCUCCUUGGCUCCUUCUUGUUAUAUUUAACUUCUUCGAUGCCUUGGGGAUCAAGAACUAGCCACCCGACAUGUUUUGCCAGCCCAUCGUGACCUCCAUAUGCCAUGUCGUGUGGCGACCGCGUGGAUGUUUUCCCGUGCACGCGCUCUGGCUGCAGUAAUCGCGCUCUGGCGCCUCUGUCUCCUCCUCCCCGUCUGUGCCCUCGUCCCCUCAUCGUCUGUCCAUGUCUAGCGUGUUUCCCGCGUCGUCUCCGUCCUCCUGGAGCCGUCUCCCCCUCCCGAAGCCUCCUCGCUGGCGCUCGUCGCCGUGCGCCCACGGGCGAACUGUAGCCGACCGGCUCUGUUCGCGCCGCGGCGGCUUCCCUCCCUUGUCCCCGAGCUCCGCUCGUCUCUGCGACCACUACGGUCGUCUGUUCCUCCUUCGUCGCCAACCUACGAGCCCAUGCGCGUGCACACGCGUCCGCCGCGCCGGACACGCGUCCGCGGCGACACCCGGCUCGAACCGCCUCGCCCCCUCCUAUUUAAGGCCACCCCGAGGCCGUUUCUCUUCACCACUUGCCUCCUGCACCUCCUAUAGCCCCGCCCCAUGUCUUGCCCGAGCUCAAGAAGCUCUCGGUGCUCGACAUCGUCGGCAUGGCCGCCGCACGGCCUCGGCUAAAUUAGCCCGAAGUCGAUCCCCUCCCUCCGUCCCGUCGACACCUUAGCACUCCCCGGACCGCCACGAGCCUCCCUACCACUUCCACUCGUCGCCGGAGUGCCUGCAGCCGCCGCCCCCCUAGUCUGACCGCCGCCCCCUGCUUCUCUGCUGCCCCGAGUCGCCGUCGCCCUCGGCCCUUCCCCGGCGCUACUGCGGUGCUGGAUGGGUGCGGUGCUCCUUGCGGAGGCCUCCGGUGCCAGCGCCUCUAUCGGAGGUGGCCGGAGCCGGCCAGGCCCUCGCUGGCAGCGCUCUGUCUCGCCCCUGCCCUCAGUUCUUCGCGAGGAGGAAGAAGGGAGCGGGAGGAGAGAGAGAGAGGUGGGCGGACCCCACCAGUCAGCCACACCGGAGCCGGCCCCGCGUUGACCCUGCCUGCCCACGAGGAUAAUGACGGGCCCCAGCCCCGUGGGACCCGCAUGUCAGCGUCACAAGCCCCGGUCCCGCCUCGGCUGACUGGAUUAAGUGGAGAUGUACUAAGAUUAGUACGUUUUCAUCUACGGGAAAGCGUAUUUUCGCUCUGCUUCAGCUCAGAGUACACUUUCUUUUACUGAGAGCGUAUUUCCGCUCUGUUUCAAUCCAGAAUACAUUUUCCUAGUCAGAAAGCGUGUUUCUAAUUUUGCGCCUCUGCCUUAUCCACUCAGGGACUUGUUUGUGAUGAUAUUUUUGCAGAAAAGUCCCUGAACUUCAACCGUUCACAACUUUUCAACCGUAGCUCCGAUUUAGGUGAAUCCAACGCCCACGUCUUCGUCUCGUCGAGCCCGUUCUGUUCCCACCAUUUUCACUAUGUUUCAACAUUCUGAAAAUGACCAUUUUGCCCUUGCCACAAUCAGCCCCGUCCGAGAGAGAACCUUUCUAGUGAUUCCUUCCGCGAUCUUUCCACACUUCUCCCCGGAGCCUUCUUCAUCCCCAGGCAAGCCACAACCACCAUUUGCAUGAUAGCCAUGCAGAAGCAUUGGUUUUCAACUUGAAUCUUAAAUAACUGUUUGUUUGCUUUGCUGCUAUUGUCUUUAUUUCGGUUAUGCUUAUGGUCGGUGUUUACCGUCAUGCUUUGUUUUUCUUGCACUCUGUUAUUAUGUUCUUCAUGCUAGUACUACUUUAAUAUUGGCAAUGCUUGGUAAUAAUACAUGUUGGUGAUGGUCUUCGGUGCAUGACUAUCGUCUGUUCCGAGUACCGUUGUUAUGCAUGUUAUUUUGCACCGAGUUGGUUAAAUAUUUGCAUGGUAGUUUUAUCGUUUGCAUGAUAUUUAUUAUUGAUGCUAGUGUUCAUGUCAUGCUAUGAGUAGUGUUCUAGUUGUGAUAUUCAUGCUCGUUAGUAUGCCAUGCUCAUCUGGUUAAAUGAUUAAAUGUUGUUGUUAUGCUCGUUGAUUAUGUUGCACCCCCAUGCUCAUGUUGGUAUCAUGUUCAUGCACUGUAGUUGCAUCAUGUUAUUUUUAUCAUGGCUCAGCAUAUUGCAUUCAAGUUUAACCGGAUUAAAUUGAACUUGAACAACUGUUGGCUGAGUCAUGGUGCCACCAGAUCGAGCUGACCAGCGCAACCACAUUUGCCUUGUGUAUGGGAAAGGCCCUAACGGGUCUAUUGUCAUGCCUCUCGCCGGUGCCUCCAACGUAGGGAAGGUUAUGCGCGGGCGCUACCUUGGACAGGUAGGACGGCAUAAGCCUUGUGAGCCCGAGUUGUUUGCGCGCUUUGUCCCUGUUUGGGACCGUUUUUGCCACGACGGUGGCCGUAAGACCUUUGGUAGGCAUGGGCCACCCAGGACUGAACCCAAAAAGGGGUGUUGGUCGGAGUGGCCGGGAGAGUGCCAUGGAAAUAGAUCGGAUUUGUCGGAACGCCAUUGGUCCACCCGAAUGGGAGUGCGAGGCCAUGGGUUUUGUGGUGUGGGUACAGUGCGCUACCUCUGCAGAGUGUGUGUGUGUGUUAAAUCUAUCGAUAACCGCGCCCGCGGAUAUGGGCCCAGUUCGUGUCGGUCAUACUAUGGGUCAACGGUAAUAAUAAUGAUGUGCUUAAUAACAACCUUGGUUCGAUGAUGAAAGAAGUUGGUUGAUAUUUAUGUCAUCGUGAGAGGAUCACUGUAGUAUCGUGAAUACCAACUUGUUGUAUAUUUGGAAUGUUAUUCGAGAGUCAAGGGGAAAGGUCAAGCUCCUUGUGAUCAUAAAUGAUUGCUACGGUAUUGUUAAUACCAAGCUUGAUUGGAUCCUGAGAUGAUCGUGUGAUAUCCGUGAUGGUAAGUGAUACAGGUGAUGGUUACAAGGUAACCAGAGCAGAGUAAGUUGGUGCAUGAUAGUUUCAUCAUGUUGCAUGCUAGGCUCAUCUUGUUCAUAUGUUCAUGCCAUGCUCGUAUUGUUCUAGCUAUAUCAUCGUGUUCAUGCUAUGAUUGAUCUGAUAGUAUCAUGGUAAUCCUUGUUAACGUGUAAUUGCCAUGUUGUUGUUUGUUUUGAUUGUUUUGGUUGCUGUGAGCUUGCAAGUACAUUCAAUGUACUGACCUGGUGUGUCAUGCCAGUUUGCAGGUCAUGUCGGAUUUGAUUGCUUGUUUGUCAUGGAUUUCCCUGUUUGCGAGCUAGGAUAAGCGUUCCAGCCAGAGUCCCUGUGGAGUGGAGUUCACCACCGUCUUUGUUGUUCCGCUGCCAGUAGUCAUUCCGCUGCGUCGUGUUGUUCUGCUGCUUGCAUAGAGCAACCGUGGCAGGCGUAGCGUCGCCGUGCCGAUGUAAUCCCCUUGUACCCCAAUAGAUUGCAAUAAAUAGCUGAUUUGUUCUAUGCUAAGCAGUGCCGUAUUCCAGAAGACUUCUCCUCGAUCUGUGGGCUGGAAUACGGGGCGUUCCGGUUUCUCUGAGCCGGGGUGCCACAGUACAACCCAUCUGGGCGUUCCAGGAGAGGGGGCGCGCCCUGGUGGGUUGUGCCCAACCAGGGGCCCCUCUCUGGUGGGUCUUGGCUCCAAAAAUUCUUAUUAUUGAUAUAAAAAAUCCUCGCAAAGUUUCGU
This 8790-nucleotide long non-coding RNA is filed under the name Triticum aestivum (bread wheat). RNAcentral's name for it is "long non-coding RNA (TAES_LNC017817)". Lineage: Eukaryota; Viridiplantae; Streptophyta; Magnoliopsida; Poales; Poaceae. The record is from RNAcentral.